AUGGCCAUGGCGAGACAGAUGAGCAAGAAGGACCUGGAAGUGGUCCUCACGCAGGCCAUGAUGGCCGCCAAGAACGUGCGGGCGCAGCGCGACCGCCUCCUGGAGCUCCACCGCCGCCUGCAGCGCCACAAGGCGGCCGCCCCCGCCCCCGCCGACGCCGACGCCGACGCCAGGCUCGGGGAGCUCGGCUCGGACGUCAUCAAGGUCUACUACCUCGGCCUGGAAGCCGGCGCCAAGAUGCUCGGGAGCUGCGUCGAGAUCGCCGUGGAGAGCAACGCCAUAGCCGCCAUCAACAUUGCCUUCGCGCUCAUGCCCGACGAGCAGCUCUACGAUGCGCUGCUCGCGCAGCGGCUCCCGCCCCGCCCCACCACCCAGGCCCACGCCUUCGCCCGCCUCGAGGCCGCCCUCCUGGCCGUCAAGAUGCUCGAGGAGCACCACCUCCCGCGCUGCGUCGAGUGCCUCGUCGGCGGCCAGGCCCCCGUCCCCGGCAAGCCCGCGCCUGAUGCCGCCUCCGCCGACGCUGAGGGCCUCGCCAACGCCGACCGCCCGGACGCCGCCGCCAAGAAGAGCAGCAAGCCCCGUCGCGCAGCCAGCGGCGACGUGCACAAGGCGCUCGACUACCUGCGCCGCGCAAACAAGAUCACCAACCUCGCCGUGAAGCACAUCGACCACGCUGUCACCGUCCUCUCCCGCUUCGCCGACCCCGAGGAGGUCGCCCGCCUCACCGAGUUGGCCGACAAGCACGCCUACCUCGGAGUUGAGAUUAGCCAGCCCACUACUUCAGCUGACCCAUCAACAGAUUAG
RNAcentral lists this ribosomal RNA (804 nucleotides) under Triticum aestivum (bread wheat). RNAcentral describes it as "partial small subunit ribosomal RNA". The record is from RNAcentral. Lineage: Eukaryota; Viridiplantae; Streptophyta; Magnoliopsida; Poales; Poaceae.